GUGGCAGACAAGAGACAAAUUCCAUUAUUCAAGGGCAGGAGACAGGAGGAGGUAGGAUCUUGGCCAAGACCUCACAGGUCUGAAUGAGCUGAGGGAAGGGCACAGGGCACCUGCAUGUUGUUUCAGAUUCUCCAGUAUGAUCCUAAUGACCCUGCCCUGUCCUUCAAGAGUCCCUCUGGACCUUACAGCAGCCAUCAAAGAAGGCUGCUUGUCCAAUACUGGUCCAGGAGUAACAGAAUCUAAUGGAGAAAAGUUACAGCUGGCUCAUGUAACACCAAAUUUCUUGCAGGAAGGCAACAACACCUGGUGGAAAGAUUGUUAGGUGAGAAACCUGAGUUCUAGCCCAGCCGCUGUCAAUCAAAAGCAAAGUAAAGGACUAAAAUAAAAGAAUGGGAACGCCGCCUACCUCAUACGACUUUUAGGAGGACCGAGAGGCGAUAUGAUAUAGACGGGGGGCGCUUUGCACUGCGUGAAGUGCUCU
Molecule: long non-coding RNA, 481 nt
Filed under: Homo sapiens (human)
Lineage: Eukaryota; Metazoa; Chordata; Mammalia; Primates; Hominidae
Description: HSALNT0391081
Source: RNAcentral